This 1459-nucleotide ribosomal RNA is filed under the name Streptococcus thermophilus. RNAcentral's name for it is "16S ribosomal RNA". It matches the Rfam family "Bacterial small subunit ribosomal RNA". The record is from RNAcentral. Lineage: Bacteria; Bacillati; Bacillota; Bacilli; Lactobacillales; Streptococcaceae.
ACGCUGGCGGCGUGCCUAAUACAUGCAAGUAGAACGCUGAAGAGAGGAGCUUGCUCUUCUUGGAUGAGUUGCGAACGGGUGAGUAACGCGUAGGUAACCUGCCUUGUAGCGGGGGAUAACUAUUGGAAACGAUAGCUAAUACCGCAUAACAAUGGAUGACACAUGUCAUUUAUUUGAAAGGGGCAAUUGCUCCACUACAAGAUGGACCUGCGUUGUAUUAGCUAGUAGGUGAGGUAAUGGCUCACCUAGGCGACGAUACAUAGCCGACCUGAGAGGGUGAUCGGCCACACUGGGACUGAGACACGGCCCAGACUCCUACGGGAGGCAGCAGUAGGGAAUCUUCGGCAAUGGGGGCAACCCUGACCGAGCAACGCCGCGUGAGUGAAGAAGGUUUUCGGAUCGUAAAGCUCUGUUGUAAGUCAAGAACGGGUGUGAGAGUGGAAAGUUCACACUGUGACGGUAGCUUACCAGAAAGGGACGGCUAACUACGUGCCAGCAGCCGCGGUAAUACGUAGGUCCCGAGCGUUGUCCGGAUUUAUUGGGCGUAAAGCGAGCGCAGGCGGUUUGAUAAGUCUGAAGUUAAAGGCUGUGGCUCAACCAUAGUUCGCUUUGGAAACUGUCAAACUUGAGUGCAGAAGGGGAGAGUGGAAUUCCAUGUGUAGCGGUGAAAUGCGUAGAUAUAUGGAGGAACACCGGUGGCGAAAGCGGCUCUCUGGUCUGUAACUGACGCUGAGGCUCGAAAGCGUGGGGAGCGAACAGGAUUAGAUACCCUGGUAGUCCACGCCGUAAACGAUGAGUGCUAGGUGUUGGAUCCUUUCCGGGAUUCAGUGCCGCAGCUAACGCAUUAAGCACUCCGCCUGGGGAGUACGACCGCAAGGUUGAAACUCAAAGGAAUUGACGGGGGCCCGCACAAGCGGUGGAGCAUGUGGUUUAAUUCGAAGCAACGCGAAGAACCUUACCAGGUCUUGACAUCCCGAUGCUAUUUCUAGAGAUAGAAAGUUACUUCGGUACAUCGGUGACAGGUGGUGCAUGGUUGUCGUCAGCUCGUGUCGUGAGAUGUUGGGUUAAGUCCCGCAACGAGCGCAACCCCUAUUGUUAGUUGCCAUCAUUCAGUUGGGCACUCUAGCGAGACUGCCGGUAAUAAACCGGAGGAAGGUGGGGAUGACGUCAAAUCAUCAUGCCCCUUAUGACCUGGGCUACACACGUGCUACAAUGGUUGGUACAACGAGUUGCGAGUCGGUGACGGCGAGCUAAUCUCUUAAAGCCAAUCUCAGUUCGGAUUGUAGGCUGCAACUCGCCUACAUGAAGUCGGAAUCGCUAGUAAUCGCGGAUCAGCACGCCGCGGUGAAUACGUUCCCGGGCCUUGUACACACCGCCCGUCACACCACGAGAGUUUGUAACACCCGAAGUCGGUGAGGUAACCUUUUGGAGCCAGCCGCCUAAGGUGGGACAGAUGAUU